UACGUAGGGUGCAAGCGUUGUCCGGAAUUAUUGGGCGUAAAGGGCGCGUAGGCGGCCAUUCAAGUGACGGGUGAAAGCCCUCGGCUUAACCGAGGAACUGCCUGUCAGACUGGAUGGCUUGAGACCGGGAGAGGUGAGUGGAACUGCGAGUGUAGAGGUGAAAUUCGUAGAUAUUCGCAAGAACACCAGUGGCGAAGGCGGCUCACUGGCCCGGUACUGACGCUGAGGUGCGAAAGCGUGGGGAGCAAACAGG
Molecule: ribosomal RNA, 253 nt
Filed under: uncultured bacterium
Lineage: Bacteria
Description: partial 16S ribosomal RNA
Rfam family: Bacterial small subunit ribosomal RNA
Source: RNAcentral